RNAcentral lists this long non-coding RNA (1773 nucleotides) under Piliocolobus tephrosceles (Ugandan red Colobus). Its description in RNAcentral is "lncRNA (ENSPTEG00000022891.1)". Lineage: Eukaryota; Metazoa; Chordata; Mammalia; Primates; Cercopithecidae. The record is from RNAcentral.
AGACCACGGUCCUGAGAAAUCCAGGAAGGGCUGGUAGGAGGUGGGGCGCGAACAGCACUGGCUGCAGCCUGUGCCAGACCAGCCAGGCGCCCUGUUUACAGUGCUGGUCACACUGGGGCAACCAGAACCAGGGCCUGCUGAAUUCUUCACCUCCUAGGUAACUGAACGGAGCCAGGAGGAGCCGAUCCGGUCCCCUUGGCCUUCGUGCCAGCUGGCCUCUCCCGACGUUAAUAAUUCAGGCCUCUCCAGCCAGUGGGCCCAGGGCCUGCGUCAGAGCUGUGAACUGUGGUUUCUGUUUCCCUGGCUGCCUCCCCGCACUCUGAGCUUAUCUAGGCCGACAGUGCUGCCAACGAGACGACCCUCCUCAGCCACCCACCAGCGGGGACACCCUGCCUGACCUUCAGCCUGCCCCAUCCUGUUUCCCACGCCCACAGGGAGGGCGGGUAUCCCCCAGCUCCUCUGGUUACUGUUCUCUGGCAGCCGCCCAAUCCCUGCCCUGGGCUGCUGGAUUCACACCUCACCGGGCACAGUUCAAGGAAGGGAAGCUCUCAUUGCCCUCCCUCCUCCAUGCCCUUCUCAUGCUUCGCUUGCAAUCCUGUGCCCCAGGUGCCUCUACUCCCAGACCUGGACUCACUGGUAAGUGGGGACCAGCAUGGCAGAGAGCAGAAUACAGCUGCUCCUCUUGCUCCAGACCCCGAACUCCGUUCACGAUUGUCGGAAAGCUCCAGACCACUAACAUGAUGGUGGAAAAGUGGAACCACAUUCCUGUUUGAUUUCUGACAGCUUUUCCUGCCUGCCUUGUCCUUCCUCACCAAGAUGAUUGGCUGCUGUGUUGUCCCACUUUAUUUUCAAGAGCCCCCAGCCUUCCUGAGCCACCUUCUCUUUGGAGGGAGAUCUGUAUUUACCAAACGUCUGUGUAUUUAUUGAAUAUCUGAUUUAUUUUAUUGUAUAUUGAAUAUUUUUAUAUUUAUUUUAAAUGAUUAAAUAUCUGUAUUGUUGUGCCCUAAUUUACUCUUCACAAUACCCUAGGAGGUAGGUAUGAUACCCCUUGCACAGAUAAGAAAACUGUCUCAGAGAUCGUUGAAGCUAUAAGUGGCAGAACCAGAGUUGAAAUCCAAGGCUGCCUCAUUCUAAAGUCCCCACUCUUUCCAUUCAGACAUGGGAUCGUGCCUAUUGCUAUUUAUCUUUUUCCUGACCUUUUUUGAAAUCAUCCUUCCUAAAGUCUAGUGUGUACUGACUAUAAACAUUUCACAUGUUUUUACCUAGAUAUUACAUGUGAGCUCACUCCUCCUUCUCAGCCAGAAUUUAGUUUCAAGCAACAAUUCCCUUGAUGCUCCCAACAUCUAAGAGGGCAUUGAGACCCCAAACACAGAUAUCCAGUCCCUGGAGCAAGUCCAUCCAGACAAGUGAGCUUUGCCUCCCAAGACAACCCGGAUGACUGUCAUUGGAAACCAGCUUUAGCCAAGUGCACAAUCAGAGCUGAAGGUGUCACAGAAACUGAGCACACAGAAUCCACAGAAAAACAAUGAGAUUUCUUUUAACAGUGAGUUUUCAUCUAAAUUGUGCCCAAAAAAUGUUGGUUUUUCUGGUGCAGUUGACAAUCUUCCAGAGCAACUCAAUUCAAGAUCAAUGUGUGUGCAGUAAGAAUUUGGCUCCUAAGACUAGAAUUCUAGCAAGUGAAAUAGAGCUGUGAUGGCCAGUUUUCUUUUUUUUUUUUUUUUUUUUUUUUGAGGCAGAGUCUCGCUCUGUCACCCGGGCUGGAGUACAGUGGCC